AAUCCAUAGGUUAAUGAGGCGAACCGGGGGAACUGAAACAUCUAAGUACCCCGAGGAAAAGAAAUCAACCGAGAUUCCCCCAGUAGCGGCGAGCGAACGGGGAGGAGCCCAGAGCCUGAAUCAGCAUGUGUGUUAGUGGAAGCGUCUGGAAAGGCGCGCGAUACAGGGUGACAGCCCCGUACACAAAAGCGCAUGUGCUGUGAGCUCGAUGAGUAGGGCGGGACACGUGGUAUCCUGUCUGAAUAUGGGGGGACCAUCCUCCAAGGCUAAAUACUCCUGACUGACCGAUAGUGAACCAGUACCGUGAGGGAAAGGCGAAAAGAACCCCGGCGAGGGGAGUGAAAAAGAACCUGAAACCGUGUACGUACAAGCAGUGGGAGCACAGGUUUACCUGUGUGACUGCGUACCUUUUGUAUAAUGGGUCAGCGACUUAUAUUCUGUAGCAAGGUUAACCGAAUAGGGGAGCCGGAGGGAAACCGAGUCUUAAUUGGGCGUUAAGUUGCAGGGUAUAGACCCGAAACCCGGUGAUCUAGCCAUGGGCAGGUUGAAGGUUGGGUAACACUAACUGGAGGACCGAACCGACUAAUGUUGAAAAAUUAGCGGAUGACCUGUGGCUGGGGGUGAAAGGCCAAUCAAACCGGGAGAUAGCUGGUUCUCCCCGAAAGCUAUUUAGGUAGCGCCUCGUGAAUUCAUCUCCGGGGGUAGAGCACUGUUUCGGCUAGGGGGCCAUCCCGGCUUACCAACCCGAUGCAAACUGCGAAUACCGGAGAAUGUUAUCACGGGAGACACACGGCGGGUGCUAACGUCCGUCGUGAAGAGGGAAACAACCCAGACCGCCAGCUAAGGUCCCAAAGUCAUGGUUAAGUGGGAAACGAUGUGGGAAGGCCCAGACAGCCAGGAUGUUGGCUUAGAAGCAGCCAUCAUUUAAAGAAAGCGUAAUAGCUCACUGGUCGAGUCGGCCUGCGCGGAAGAUGUAACGGGGCUAAACCAUGCACCGAAGCUGCGGC
Molecule: ribosomal RNA, 1007 nt
Filed under: Salmonella enterica subsp. enterica serovar Enteritidis
Lineage: Bacteria; Pseudomonadati; Pseudomonadota; Gammaproteobacteria; Enterobacterales; Enterobacteriaceae
Description: partial 23S ribosomal RNA
Rfam family: Bacterial large subunit ribosomal RNA
Source: RNAcentral